GACUACCUGAGAUGGCCGAGCGGUCCAAGGCAAAACCCUUAAAUCCAAACUCCACUCCAACAGUUCCGUGGUCUCGAAAGGGGCGUGAGUUCAAAUCUCACUUUCGUCA
This is a non-coding RNA of Triangularia verruculosa, 109 nucleotides long. NCBI's taxonomy places the organism in Eukaryota, Fungi, Ascomycota, Sordariomycetes, Sordariales, Podosporaceae. The record is from the annotation of a GenBank genome assembly.